AAUAAUUCAAAGUUUGGAUUAUUUUGAGAAGAUGAGUGAAAGGUGGGAUUAUUUAUGUCAAAGGUGGGAUUAUUUAUGAAAGAUGAGUUAAGCUUAUAUAGGUAAAAGUUAUUUAUUUUUUAGUGAUAAAUUUUUUCAUUUCAGUAAAACUUAUUUCUUCAAAACCACUAAUAAUGUAUAAAAUUAACCAUUUCUAUCAACUUUUUUUUUACUAAUAUAAAAGUUAAUCAAAAUUAGGUUAAAGUUACAAAAAAAAUGGAUAAAAGUUAUGUUGGUGUACAAUAAAUUUAUUGUACACCUUGUGCGCGCAAGACCUUUUGUUAUACUUAUGGCCUAUGGGUAAUAAUUACUUGCACAGUGUUUGGAAUACAAAUAUGGUGAAUUGUAUGAAAUGUGAAAAAUCAAAACUAUGAAAAUGUAUUAAAAAAAAAUUACUUUAUAUUAGAUCUGAUAAAAAAAAAGGUAGGCUGGGUCACGACCUAAAUCAGCCAAUGCCAAGUUUUCGGCCGAUUUUAUGUUUCAAAACCCGCUAUUUCGGGCAAAAAAUUGAGUAUUUUAGGUCGGGACAGACCUGAAAAACGUGCCUACAUUUUUUGCCUAAAAGCCGCUAAUUUUGGGGAUAGGCCAACAUGUGGGACUCAAGUUGAUCAAGUCUACUACGAAGUAUAUAUUAGUUUUGUUUAAUAGUUUAAUGAGAGAAAUUGAAAAUAGUUUAUCGGAACUAGAAACCUACUAGGAUUCAACUUAUCUAAUUCUAUUAGAAUUAGAUUCAAAUUAAAUUUAUUAGUUUUAGUGUUUUGCAUAACAACUAAUUCUAGUAGUUUAAGAAAAAUAUUCUAAUCGGAUAAAUCCUAAACACUUAAGGAUUCGAAACACGCACGAACACUACGACACACACGAAGCCCGCAAGGGGCCCUGCCCGCGCGUGCGGUGGGUUGGCUCGGCCCAGCAGCUGGUACGCGGCCCACGAAGGGCGCGCCAGCCUGCUGGCCUUGCCGCUUGCUGGGCCUGGCCUUACUUCAUUGCUUGGCUGGGCCUUGCAUGCUUGGCGGGCUGCUUGCUCGCCUGCUGUGCUUGCGCGGGCUUCGCUAGGCGCGGGCCUAGCUUCGUGUUGGGCCUUGCGUCUAGCAAGCUCGUCCGAUGUUUAUUUCGUACGUUGCGCUUCCGAUUAAUUUUCCGAUUCCGGAAUUCAUUUCCGAUUCGAACAAUAUUUAAUAUUUCCGAUUCCGGAAUUAAUUUCCGUUUCGAACAAAUAUUUAAUAUUUCCGAUUCCGGAAUUAAUUUCCGUUUCGAACAAAUAUUUAAUAUUUCCGAUUCCGACAAUAUUUCCGUUUUCGGCAAUAUUUCCGAUUCCGGCAAUAUUUCCAUUACCGGUAAUAUUUUCCGAUACGUACCAUGUUUCCGUUUCCGGCAACAUCUGCAACUUCGAUAAUAUUUAUAUUUCCGAUACGAUCCAUAUUUCCGUUUCCGGCAAUAUCAUCGUUUUCGGAGUAUUCAUAAUUUGCCUUUUGACGAUUUCAGCUCCCACUGGAACCGAGAUCAGUCGAUUCCGAAUAUUCAUAAAUGGAGUAUUUAAUUCACUUAAAUACUUGAUCCGUUCACGUACUAUUUGUGUGACCCUACGGGUUCAGUCAAGAGUAAGUUGUGGAUUAAUAUUAUUAAUUCCACUUGAACUGAAGCGGCCUCUAGCUAGGCAUACAGUUCACUAGCUUGAUCUCACUGAAUUAUUAACUUGCAUAAUUAAUUAAUACUGAACCGCAUUUAUUAGACUUAGCAUUGAAUGCAUACUUGGACCAAGGGCAUUUAUUUCCUUCACACACCCCGCUUGUUAACUGGCAAUGUCCAGGUUAUCUCAAUAGCAUAUUGAUAAGGAACAAUGGGAGUAAUAUCACUUGAGUCUUACGUUUCAUCACAAGUCUUAAAGGAUUAAAAUAAAAUGUCAAUGUUUGGUUGCUUGUAUUUAUGUCUUGUUGUUGUGUCUUGAGUUCACCUUGUGCAUAAAAUAUUAAUUAACGUAAAGUGCAACCCGAAGGAGCUUCAAAACUCUUGGAACGUAUAUACUUUGAGUAUGAACAAUGGGAGGAGUCUUGCCGGAAAACUUGUAUUCCUUGAUUGAUACAAGACGUUGUUUCAUUCUUUAUUUUAAGCGCGGGAAUUCCGUCGGUAUGGUCCGACAGUCGGCAUGGUCCGAUAUUUAUUAUUUUGGUGUGUGGUUGGCUUCCAUUAGAUUUUUUACGUGGCUCUCUAAUAUUGGAUUCGUGUUUGAUUUUGGAUUGAAUUUUAUUUUAGAUUAGUGUUUGAUUUUAAUUGGAUGAAUUUUAUUUUAGAUUUUUUUUAAUUAUUAGAGUGUUUGAUUUUGGAUAGAGUUGUAUAUAUUAGUAAUUAAUUAAUUAAAAUAUCCAUGUGACACCUAAUUAAUUAUCUACGUAGCACUCGAUUUUUUUAAUUCAAAAAUAAAUUAGAAAUGUUUUUUUUCAUUGGCCGAAACAUUAGUAAUCCUAGGUGGCGCUCUAAUAUUUCAGCAAAUAUGCCUCCGGAAGCUAGGGUCUGACAUAAUAACAAAUCACUAAAAAGUAGAGUAAAAACAAUACUCCGUAGUACUCCGUAUAUAAUACUGACUCCUUAACUCUAGACCCCGAAAAAGAAAAAAAAGAAACUCUAGACCCUAAUAUAAAAGUAUAUAAUGCUCUAAACCAAAGUAGGCUACAGGCGAUUGUCAUUGUAAAUUCUGUUUUUGAACGGCGUUUCCAGUUUCCUCCCCACACACAGACAAGGCCGUGAGGGCUCUUGAGCAAGGUCCGGCAGAAGGUAGGAUUUCAAUUUGUGAAGGUUCUAUUUCGGCACGAUAGGUGUAGUGUUUCAAUUUUAAUCCAAUUUAAAUGGUUUUUUUUCUUUAUUAAUCGAGUGUUUUUUAUUGAUUAGGUUACCGGAAAAUUUCAAGGGUUUCAGUUUGCGAAAGAUAAUUUAAAUCAGGUGGUUAUCCGAAAAUUUUCAAGGAAUGAUUCAUUCAAGAAAUCCGGUUAGGAAGGACGCAAAUAUGUCAAAAGGUUGUCCGAUUGGCAAAUUUCUUGACGUUAAAUUUUUGUUAUCCGGUGGUAUGAAUAGCCGAAUAAGUGAAGAAAAAAGAAUAAAAACGGGAAUAAUAAUGGUUAUCUAGUUCGCAAUGAUAUCCGUUCAAGAAAAGAUCCAGUGAAGAUUGAGACAUUGGAAAAAAAAUACAUAUUGGUUUGUUGUUUGAAUGUCACCGAUGUCUGCAGCGAGUCUGAUUCAAUCUAUCUACAAAACAUGAUAACUACAUGUUCCAAGUUGUAUUACUCUCGGGCCGAUUUUGAGAUUGUAGUGGUUCCAAAGAUUACUAACUUGCCCAAUAAAGAGAUGGAGAUGGUGUUGUCCUUGUUCCGGACUCGUGUCGUUGUAACUUCAUAUGCGAGCGCAUUGACUUAUGUGAUGCUGAUUUCUUUAAAUGUGUCGUUCUGAAUGGCAAAGGAAACAUUUUGCUGAAUGGACGUCCAGACUUUUCUUUCAAGCAUCUUCAUGAGUUUUUCGCAGAGAGUUCCAUGGAUUUUAUAGGUUUCUUUGACAAGCUAGUAAAAACAACAUGGCCUGUGAUCAAGGGGCAGGAAAUGGAUUCCCAGACCCUCUUAUAUUUAAAUGGUAAUCCUGUAGCUAAAAAAUUGGGAGCUGUUUUACCCAAAUAUCCUGAUGAUGUUUCUGAAUCAAAAGCAGGUUUGCAAUCUAUCAUUGAGAUUGGGCAGUCGUUUAAUGUUAUAUCCUUGUUGUCUGGUGAUGGUGAGAUGAAUUACCUUGAUCGAAUUUGUGGCGAUCGAGUUGAAGUUGAGGAGAAGAUGUUUAGUAACAAGAACAUUAUGGUUUGUUGUUUUCAUGUGCCUAUCUUCCGUGUAGACGAUGAUUCUCUGUAUCUCCAGUCUCUGAUAAAUACAUGUUCUGAAUUGUAUUCUAAAGACAAUCUUGAGAUGGUAGUGGUAGCAAAGAUGAACACUUUGGCCAAUUAUGAGGGUAUUUUCGAUCACUUCUUGUCUGGGUUUCCUACUUGGUGUCUUGCGGUACCGUUUGAGGACUCAAAACGCCGUGACUUUAUAUGCAGGUACCUUAACCUUGGUCAUGGUAGUUUUAAAUGUCUCCUUUUGAAUUCCAAUGGAAGUGUUUUGCUCCAUGAAAAUGGUUGUCUUCCUAGUGUUGUAUUGAAUUAUGGAGCUGAGGCCUUUCCCUUUACUCAAGAUUGUCUACACAAACUUGGCUAACCGGACAUCCCAUAUUGGAAAACUUCCUCUACGUCCACGCUUGAGGGACUUUUGCAGUGCAAUUCCUCUUUUGUUCUUGGUAAAACUAAUCCAUCAAUAUCAUCGACAUGUAUCUCACAACUCAAAGGGAAGGUUGUUGGGUUGUACUUGUGUUGGGAAGGAGAUUUUAUUCCGAAGCUGAAUGACGUCUAUAAACAAUGCAAAAAGAAGUCGCUGGCAUUUGAAAUAGUGCUGGUUUACAUGCCCUUUGGUGACUGUCUUGACCUUGAGGUAUUCAUGGGCAAAAUUGAUAGUAUGUUGCGGGAUUGUAACGCAUGUUGGUGGUGUUUUCCGUUUAACAACUCUGUAAGCCACAGACUGGGUCGACUUGCCUUUGGCUGCAGGGAGGAUAGGCUCAUCAUUGUGGGACCCAAUGGUGAAUUUGUAGAUCCUUAUGGAAGAGAGGUGAUGAACAGUUAAGGAUGUGAUUAUUAUCCGUUCACUAGAGAGGCCCUUGUCCAAAGGAAAGUGAACAAUUUAAAGGCACUUAAGUUGGAGUCAUUAUUUGUUCACUGCAAUGAUACUUUUCUGCAUCUGGUGCAAGAACUACAAGGUAAGAAUAUACUUGUUUUUCUUGAUUCUCUUUCCCAGUUUGAGCUUUCUUUGGAACUAAAUCGAUGGUAUCAAAACAUGAAGAAACAGGAAUCUUCCUCUUCCUUUGAGGUGGUGUUUGUUCGGCUAUAUAGAAGGCAUGUUAAUAUAGUGGAUACUGAUUCAAGCUUAUCUGAAUCAAUGCCUUGGUUGGUAUGCCCAUUUGACCCUGAUCACUCAACUUUUGUUGAGAAGAAACUAUUUGGUGAGAGAGGAGUAUCUAAUGCCCUUGUCGGAUUUGAUCAAAAUGGCCGGAUUUGUACACUUGACGCUCGAGAACGUCUAGAGAGUAAGGGCUCAGCUGCUUUUCCAUUUGAUGAUAAUCUGCGCCAGGAUGUCAUUGAUCAACUCCGUUGUCACGCAUUCCAUGACUUCAUGAAUUAUUUUCAAUAGUAAUAUCAUCUCCUUAACUUUCGACUUUUCUUUAAUUAUAUAACUUGUAAUUAGGAAUUCAAUUGGUGCUUCACCAUGGUUGACUUUUACCACUAUAACCGUUACUUCUCUAACCGUUACUUUGACUCUUAAUAUCUCAAAUUGCGUGCAAGUAAAAAUUACAAAAAAUAUAUAUCGAUACGAAUCUAACAUGACCACAUAUGACUAAUAUUUAAUUACGUACGAAUCACAACAAAUGGACAAAGUCGUAGUGUGAAUAGUGCAGAAAAAAAAUAGUGCGAUAUUUCUAAAAUGGAGGAAGUAUACGAAGGUGUAUGUAUCAGAAGUUGUGGUUUUCAACCCAUACAAACAUUAAAAUAUACUAAGACCAAGACUGGGGUGGCAUCACCACAUUAAAUGGUUCUUGAUGUUGAUAAUUUUGAGGACUAACUUGUUGAAUCUCCAAAAUUUCUACCCUUCGAUUUGUUUUCUUUCUGAUCUUGAUUGCCACAUCUUGAGGGAUGAAAUUUCCAAAUACUAUCACACUACUCGUUUUGUUCUCGAUCAUGUGAGUUUCUAUUUCUUCACACAAAAAAAGUACAAAAAAGAAUUAGCAAAUUAAAGCCACAUAUUGGCUUUAAUUAAUGCAUAAUACAAAACCUACGUUACCUUUCUGUGGUCUAAUCGACAUGAUUAUUGUAUUUGUUUCGUUGUACAAGAAGCCACAAAAGGAAAAUGGUGCAGACUACUAUUGUGGGUUUAACUAAUUUUAAAUUCACGACUUUUCUAAAAUUUGGUGACUUUCAAAGUUGUAAAACCAAAAAUUGAAAACCGGUAAUGAUAUUGAACGGGGCAAAGAAGUAAUGCUUACCACGAAUAUGAAGAAGUGCUUGUUUAACCUUCCUGUAGCAACCAUUACAAUCAAUUUUGAUCCUCAAGAUCAUGCAAAAGUACUGCUAAAAACAGUUGAAAAUGACAUAAUUAUUAAGAAUGGUUUAUUCUAGACACAAAAAUAAUACAUGAUGGAGCAUGGAGAUUACCUUCUCUUUCAUGAAGCCAGAAAUUAGGAAGAUAUUGAUGAAUGAUGGAUGAAUGUGUGAACAAACUGUGUAUGUUAAAAGCUACUGUAAAAAGCAGAAGCAAGUAAACAUAUAACACUACAAGAAUCCGCGUUCUUAACAACCGUACCAAACCCAGUCAGGAAACCAACGAAAAAAUCAUGGAUACUUUGGUUCAUUUGUUCUGUACUAGUAAAAGUCAUGUAUACUUUUUUAUGUAAAAAUGAGGGAAUCUGGUUCUAUUUUGGGGUCUAGCUAGCUAGGUAAAUGACUAAAUGCCAUUAACUUUUAAAGAUACAUAUCUUAAAGGCAGGCAGAGAGAAUUAUUUGCUUUAAGCAGCAUUUUCCCAGCCUAGCUUGUUCCGGCCUCCACAGCCAAUCCAUGAUGAUUCUUUCUAUGUUCCAAAAUGGUAGACGGACAAGACUUUACCGACUACAGAGUAUAUGACUAAGCUAGUUGACAUCUACUAGACAAAACUGAAUUAUAUAUUAGUCGAUAUUACAAGUUUAUAACGGGUAAUAGUUCAGGAAGAAAAGUAUUCCUCCACUUUUAUACAAGUGUUGUGUUUGAACUUCGGCUGAAAUUUUGUUAUGAGUGAUCUGAUUACAAAAGAAAGCUGAUAAUAUAUACAGUAUGGAGUACAAAUCUGGCAGUAUAAAUUUAGUCUAAAAGUGAUUUAUCGUUAAUGCCGGACUACAGAAAAGCGAAAAACACUUGGAAAGAAACGAGUAGCCUCAGACGGUGUCAGACCUCUAACCAAACAUUUUGUUCUGAUCAAUUAGAUUUUUGCUUUCACGCUUUUUGUUUAACUAAUACUAAGUCUUACAAAUAAGAGCUUAUUAUAAAACCGUCUUUUAUAAGAAUUGCCCUAAGAAACGGGUGAAAAGUGUUGUUAAACACGAAGUAUGAAUGUAAGAAUGUCUUUUUUACAACUUUGUUAAUACAUAGAAGAAUGUUUUUAGAAAAUGAGGAAUCAGAUCAGAAUAAAUACAGUCUGCUAUUCUGGAAGGAAAAUAGAGGAAGUGUUUGUUAACUGGAAAAUACAGUCUGUAUGUUAAUUGUGAUAUUCCAUGGUCAAAAUAGAGAACUGAUAAUCAGUUUGUCAUGAAAGUCAGAGGUUUACAAUCACAGAUAGUUGUCAAGGUUUGUUAUUUUGAAAGGAAAAUAAGAGAUGCAUGUGGAUGUAACACACAACAGGCAUGUAGCUACUCACACUCACCAUAUGCAUUUUCUUCUCUACUCGACGACUCCUAUAUAUAUUUACCCAAGUCUUAGCACCAGUUGACAGACCUCCAUCUUAAUCAAAACCUAGAAAACACAAAAAAGUAACAGAAAAAUGGCCAUUUCAUCUGGAAAAAUCCUCACUCAUACCACCAUUGCUCCCUUGAUUUUCCUCGUAUCCUUCCUUACCUUAAGCCACUCACAAAUAACUCCAAGUACCCCUUCAGAAUCAGAACCCACCAUGGCAGAGUGUGGGACACGCCUCCUUGUAUUGGCACCUUGUGCCCCUUUUGUGCAGGGGCAGUCCCCAGAACCUACAGUGCAGUGCUGUAACAACCUGAUGCAAGUGUAUAACUUGGAGCGAGGUUGCCUUUGCCUCUUUCUCAACGGCACUGCCUUGGCCUCUCUCCCUAUCAACUCUACCCUCGCUCUUCAGUUGCCUGGCCUAUGCAGUCCACAAAUUGACCCCUCUACUUGCUCAACUUCAGGUGGAGCAGCACCUCCUACAUCAUCAGCACCUCCUACAUCAGCCGCAUCACCAGCAUCGCCAGUUUCAUACACAAGGAAUCCAACUGUUGGUGCAGGAGCUCCAACUGUUACUAUUUCACCAAGCACGGUCAAAUUUGGGUUGAAGAAUAGCUCAGCUUACAAGUUAGCCUCCUGUCAAUGGGGAGUUGCAAUAGCAAUGGUCUUUCUACUGUUACAAAAGUUACUCUGAUUAGGUUAAUCACACUGGAACUGGACGAUCGUUUUGAUUAUGGCUGUUGAGUAGUGAAGCAACUGAGAUGUAGUGAGUAGUAGUAGUUAUAUUUAGCUUGGAGAAUUUAGCAAGACAGUAUUUCUUUGUCCAUUUUAUUUAUGGUUUCAUUCUAGUUAAGAAGUCAGAACCAUUGUUAUCAAUCGAUUCAGAAACAAGAGUUUACAUUUUCAAAGAAA
Spinacia oleracea (spinach) is the source of this 8480-nucleotide RNA transcript. It is a transcript of the gene named non-specific lipid transfer protein GPI-anchored 10, with no coding region annotated. NCBI's taxonomy places the organism in Eukaryota, Viridiplantae, Streptophyta, Magnoliopsida, Caryophyllales, Amaranthaceae. The record is from RefSeq and is a predicted model, not a curated record. The transcript has 4 exons.